AUUAUUAGGUAUAUUAUUUGUAAAAUAUGUGCUUACAAUAUUAAUGUAUUAGUUAAUCAAGAGUUUCAUUAGAAAUACAUCAUUUAUAUUUGAAUAUUGGAAAAGAAAAAAGUUAGUCGAAAUCUAUUAAAACGAAAGAAUAUUUUAUCUACUUUCUUUAUUGUGUUUCCUUACAAUUUUAAUUAAUCUUUAAUAUUAUAUGAAUCUUGAAAUAAAAUGAAAAUUUAUGAUGAAUAAAAAUCUCAACAUUUAGGAAGAAAUAAUAAAACACAUUUUCUAUUUGAACAAUAUAUAAUAUUUUAAAUCUUAUUCAUUCUCAAUAAUAGAAGUUCUAUUUUUUAUUUUAUUAAUUACUCUAGAAAUCUUUGAUUUAAUUUUGCUCUUUCUUGAAAUUUUCUGGCUCUCAUGAGAUUUACCUAUAUAACUAAAAGAAUCAUUCAAUUUAGUAUUUUCCAUUGAACUUAUACGAGAAGAUGAAGUAUUUAAAGCUGAAACAGGAGGAUUGAUAUCAAUAAUUGGUGAAGAUAAACUCAAAUUUGACCUCUUUGGUACAAUUUGGUCAUAAUCUCGUAAUAUGUCAUUACUUAUAAUAUAUGAACUAUUGUCAUUAAUAUUAUUAUUAUUUUUUUUAUUAACAUCCUUCAAACUUUUUGUUUGAUUCGAAAGUUCUUUAUUAUUUAUUAUUCCAUUUUCUUCAAUAAAAUUAUUCAGUAUUGCAUUAUUUGAAGUUUUUGGAUUAUAUGUGUUAAUUAAAUUGGAUUUAUUAUUUUCUUCAUUAACAAUAUUCGAAUUUUUACAAUAAUUUGAAGACUUUAAACAACUUUUUGAUUUUUUUCCUGAAUUUUUAAAGCUUUCCAUAGCUAUUGGUAAAACUCCAAAAGAUUGAAAUACAUUAUGAUCACAACAAGGAUUAUCAAUUAUUAAAUUAUGAUGAAAAUCUUCAACACAUGGAUUUUCAUCAUUAUCUUCAUUAAUAUACAAACUUGAAGAAGCAGAAAAGAAACUCUGAGAAUCUUCAAUAAUCAUUGCAAUAUUUUCUGCUAAAUUUGGAGAUUCUGAUAAGACUGAAUAUUCUCUUAUAAAAUGUUGGCUCAUAUCACCAAUAUUAGCAAUAUCUGUAUUCAUAUUAAUUGUAUUGAUUAUACCAAUAUUAAUUUCAGCUGAUAAAUCUCUAUCCUCAUUAUUAGUAGAUUGUAUCUUUUGAUUUGGUAUUGACAAAUUAUCUAAUUUCAUAUUAUCUGUAUGCUCCAUUAAAUAACUCUUUAAUUCCAACU
Molecule: non-coding RNA, 1274 nt
Filed under: Cryptosporidium parvum
Lineage: Eukaryota; Apicomplexa; Conoidasida; Eucoccidiorida; Cryptosporidiidae
Source: RNAcentral